This 495-nucleotide ribosomal RNA is filed under the name uncultured bacterium. Its description in RNAcentral is "partial 16S ribosomal RNA". It matches the Rfam family "Bacterial small subunit ribosomal RNA", at positions 30 to 507 of the family's 1533-position model. The record is from RNAcentral.
UGACCGCUGGCGGCGUGCCUCAUACAUGCAAGUCGAGCGAACAGAUGAGGAGCUUGCUCCUCUGACGUUAGCGGCGGACGGGUGAGUAACACGUGGAUAACCUACCUAUAAGACUGGGAUAACUUCGGGAAACCGGAGCUAAUACCGGAUAAUAUAUUGAACCGCAUGGUUCAAUAGUGAAAGACGGUUUUGCUGUCACUUAUAGAUGGAUCCGCGCCGCAUUAGCUAGUUGGUAAGGUAACGGCUUACCAAGGCAACGAUGCGUAGCCGACCUGAGAGGGUGAUCGGCCACACUGGAACUGAGACACGGUCCAGACUCCUACGGGAGGCAGCAGUAGGGAAUCUUCCGCAAUGGGCGAAAGCCUGACGGAGCAACGCCGCGUGAGUGAUGAAGGUCUUCGGAUCGUAAAACUCUGUUAUUAGGGAAGAACAAAUGUGUAAGUAACUAUGCACGUCUUGACGGUACCUAAUCAGAAAGCCACGGCUAACUACGUG